AGUGGCGGACGGGUGAGUAACGCGUAAGAAUCUAACUUCAGGACGGGGACAACAGUGGGAAACGACUGCUAAUACCCGAUGUGCCGCGAGGUGAAACCUAAUUGGCCUGAAGAAGAGCUUGCGUCUGAUUAGCUAGUUGGUGGGGUAAGAGCCUACCAAGGCGACGAUCAGUAGCUGGUCUGAGAGGAUGAGCAGCCACACUGGGACUGAGACACGGCCCAGACUCCUACGGGAGGCAGCAGUGGGGAAUUUUCCGCAAUGGGCGAAAGCCUGACGGAGCAACGCCGCGUGAGGGAGGAAGGUCUUUGGAUUGUAAACCUCUUUUCUCAAGGAAGAAGUUCUGACGGUACUUGAGGAAUCAGCCUCGGCUAACUCCGUGCCAGCAGCCGCGGUAAUACGGGGGAGGCAAGCGUUAUCCGGAUUAUUGGGCGUAAAGCGUCCGCAGGUGGUCAGCCAAGUCUGCCGUCAAAUCAGGUUGCUUAACGACCUAAAGGCGGUGGAAACUGGCAGACUAGAGAGCAGUAGGGGUAGCAGGAAUUCCCAGUGUAGCGGUGAAAUGCGUAGAGAUUGGGAAGAACAUCGGUGGCGAAAGCGUGCUACUGGGCUGUAUCUGACACUCAGGGACGAAAGCUAGGGGAGCGAAAGGGAUUAGAUACCCCUGUAGUCCUAGCCGUAAACGAUGGAUACUAGGCGUGGCUUG
Molecule: ribosomal RNA, 700 nt
Filed under: uncultured bacterium
Lineage: Bacteria
Description: bacterial SSU rRNA
Rfam family: Bacterial small subunit ribosomal RNA
Source: RNAcentral